Molecule: ribosomal RNA, 481 nt
Filed under: uncultured bacterium
Lineage: Bacteria
Description: bacterial SSU rRNA
Rfam family: Bacterial small subunit ribosomal RNA
Source: RNAcentral
ACGACGCUGGCGGCGUGCCUAACACAUGCAAGUCGAACGGUAACUUUUUAAGGUAUUUCUUCGGAAUGAAUUUGAUUAAGUUUAGUGGCGGACGGGUGAGUAACGCGUGAGUAACCUGCCUCUAAGAGGGGAAUAACAUUCUGAAAAGAAUGCUAAUACCGCAUAAUAUAUAUUUAUCGCAUGGUAGAUAUAUCAAAGAUUUAUCGCUUAGAGAUGGACUCGCGUCCGAUUAGUUAGUUGGUGAGGUAACGGCUCACCAAGACCGCGAUCGGUAGCCGGACUGAGAGGUUGAACGGCCACAUUGGGACUGAGACACGGCCCAGACUCCUACGGGAGGCAGCAGUGGGGGAUAUUGCGCAAUGGGGGAAACCCUGACGCAGCAACGCCGCGUGAAGGAUGAAGGUCUUCGGAUUGUAAACUUCUUUUAUUAAGGACGAAGAAAGUGACGGUACUUAAUGAAUAAGCUCCGGCUAACUACGUG